GGUUGAUCCUGCCAGUAUUAUAUGCUUGUCUUUAAGAUCUAAGCCAUGCAUGUCCAAGUAUAAAUUCGAUUAUACGGUGAAACUGCGGACGGCUCAUUAUAUCAGUUAUAGUUUCUUUGACGGUCCAGCCUCUCUCGUUGUGAUCAUCUCGGUGAAAGCGACGGUGGGGGUUUCUUGGAUAACUGUGGGAAUUCUAGAGCUAAUACAUGAACAACAGCGCCGACCCGAGGCUUCGGCUUUGGGGAGGGCCGGGUUUGUCCCCGUAAGCGCGGCACGGGCAACCGUUCCCCGC
Molecule: ribosomal RNA, 292 nt
Filed under: uncultured eukaryote
Lineage: Eukaryota
Description: partial 18S ribosomal RNA
Rfam family: Eukaryotic small subunit ribosomal RNA
Source: RNAcentral